CCUACGGGUGGCAGCAGUGAGGAAUAUUGGUCAAUGGCCGAGAGCCUGAACCAGCCAAGUCGCGUGAAGGAAGACUGCCCUACGGGUUGUAAACUUCUUUUAUCAAGGAAUAAAGUGAGGCCCGUGUGCCUUUUUGUAUGUACUUUAUGAAUAAGGAUCGGCUAACUCCGUGCCAGCAGCCGCGGUAAUACGGAGGAUCCGAGCGUUAUCCGGAUUUAUUGGGUUUAAAGGGAGCGUAGGUGGGAUGUGAAGUCAGUGGGUAAAGUUGUGGGGUCAACCAUAGAAUUGCCGUUGAAACUGGGGGCCUUGAGUGUGUGAGAGGCAGGCGGAAUGCGUGGUGUAGCGGUGAAAUGCGUAGAUAUCACGAAGAACACCGAUUGCGAAGGCAGCCUACCGGGCCAUGACUGACGCUGAUGCACGAAAGCGUGGGGAUCAAACAGGAUUAGAUACCCUUGUAGUC
RNAcentral lists this ribosomal RNA (460 nucleotides) under uncultured bacterium. RNAcentral describes it as "partial 16S ribosomal RNA". It matches the Rfam family "Bacterial small subunit ribosomal RNA", at positions 338 to 795 of the family's 1533-position model. The record is from RNAcentral.